UUUCUCUAAUAAAGGUGGAGCCUACCAAUACAAUGGUUCUCACUCUCUAUUAAAGAGAUGAUACAUAAAUUAAUAUAUAAAGUUGAUCUCCCUAACAUUUUUCGAUAAGGAAUUCUAAAACAAAUAGUACCUUUUUUUUUUUUUUUUUUCUUUCUAUGUUUUCAUGUGGAACAUAAUUUCAUAAUGUUGUGGUCACAUAUAUGAUGUAGAAUAUAUGCCAGAGAUAAUUGAGGUGCAACUUGAUAGGCGUAAUUAGCUCAUAAACAACAAAAUGCAAUCUUUGCACAUGUAUGGGCUCUGAGUUUCAAUUUGGACCCAUAACGGAUGUUUAAAAGAGAAUUGCAAAACAAGUCAAACACAUCAUGC
This 366-nucleotide long non-coding RNA is filed under the name Prunus persica (peach). RNAcentral's name for it is "long non-coding RNA (PPER_LNC007781)". The record is from RNAcentral. Lineage: Eukaryota; Viridiplantae; Streptophyta; Magnoliopsida; Rosales; Rosaceae.